Molecule: ribosomal RNA, 1086 nt
Filed under: Frigoribacterium sp.
Lineage: Bacteria; Bacillati; Actinomycetota; Actinomycetes; Micrococcales; Microbacteriaceae
Description: bacterial SSU rRNA
Rfam family: Bacterial small subunit ribosomal RNA
Source: RNAcentral
AGCCGGCGGCUGCUUACACAUGCAGUCGAACGAUGAACUGGAGCUUGCUCCAGGGAUUAGUGGCGAACGGGUGAGUAACACGUGAGUAACCUGCCCUUGACUCUGGGAUAAGCGCUAGAAAUGGCGUCUAAUACCGGAUACGAGCUUCAGCCGCAUGGCUAGGAGUUGGAAAGAAUUUUGGUCAAGGAUGGACUCGCGGCCUAUCAGCUAGUUGGUGAGGUAAUGGCUCACCAAGGCGACGACGGGUAGCCGGCCUGAGAGGGUGACCGGCCACACUGGGACUGAGACACGGCCCAGACUCCUACGGGAGGCAGCAGUGGGGAAUAUUGCACAAUGGGCGAAAGCCUGAUGCAGCAACGCCGCGUGAGGGAUGACGGCCUUCGGGUUGUAAACCUCUUUUAGUAGGGAAGAAGCGAAAGUGACGGUACCUGCAGAAAAAGCACCGGCUAACUACGUGCCAGCAGCCGCGGUAAUACGUAGGGUGCAAGCGUUGUCCGGAAUUAUUGGGCGUAAAGAGCUCGUAGGCGGUUUGUCGCGUCUGCUGUGAAAUCUGGGGGCUCAACCCCCAGCCUGCAGUGGGUACGGGCAGACUAGAGUGCGGUAGGGGAGAUUGGAAUUCCUGGUGUAGCGGUGGAAUGCGCAGAUAUCAGGAGGAACACCGAUGGCGAAGGCAGAUCUCUGGGCCGUAACUGACGCUGAGGAGCGAAAGCAUGGGGAGCGAACAGGAUUAGAUACCCUGGUAGUCCAUGCCGUAAACGUUGGGAACUAGAUGUGGGGGCCAUUCCACGGUCUCCGUGUCGCAGCUAACGCAUUAAGUUCCCCGCCUGGGGAGUACGGCCGCAAGGCUAAAACUCAAAGGAAUUGACGGGGGCCCGCACAAGCGGCGGAGCAUGCGGAUUAAUUCGAUGCAACGCGAAGAACCUUACCAAGGCUUGACAUAUACCGGAAACGUCCAGAAGAUGGUCGCCCCGCAAGGUCGGUAUACAGGUGGUGCAUGGUUGUCGUCAGCUCGUGUCGUGAGAUGUUGGGUUAAGUCCCGCAACGAGCGCAACCCUCGUUCUAUGUUGCCAGCACGUUAUGGUGGGA